Molecule: long non-coding RNA, 323 nt
Organism: Centropristis striata (black sea bass)
Lineage: Eukaryota; Metazoa; Chordata; Actinopteri; Perciformes; Serranidae
Exons: 2
Source: RefSeq, a predicted model, not a curated record
GUCCCGAGCCGCCAGCUGAGAAACACUGACACGUUAUCGUCCUCCGAGUCGUCUCCACGGCGAUGCUGCAACAACACAAAUUAUAUUCAACUUCCUGCAACACGUCGUCAUGUUUACUUCAGAUUCAGAGGACUGAGACAGAGCUACCGGAUCAGGAGACACUCGGUCCUGGACGUGGUCCAGGGAGGAAGUGGAGACUCUGACCUCACAGAAUUUUCCAGAGGACAGAUGAUGACAUUUGCUGAACAGAUUCUGAAUCUCUUUAAGGACAAUUUUAUCCAUUUAUGAUUUAAACAUGUAUGAAUAAAGGUGAUUUAUUAAGC